RNAcentral lists this ribosomal RNA (483 nucleotides) under uncultured bacterium. RNAcentral's name for it is "bacterial SSU rRNA". It matches the Rfam family "Bacterial small subunit ribosomal RNA", at positions 28 to 507 of the family's 1533-position model. The record is from RNAcentral.
GAUGAACGCUAGCGGCAGGCCUAACACAUGCAAGUCGAGGGGUAGAGUUCUUCGGGACUUGAGACCGGCGCACGGGUGCGUAACGCGUAUGCAAUCUACCUUAUACAGGGGAAUAGCCCAGAGAAAUUUGGAUUAAUGCCCCAUAGUGUUAUCGAAUCGCAUGGUUUGAUAACUAAAGUUCCAACGGUAUAAGGUGAGCAUGCGUCCCAUUAGUUAGUUGGUAAGGUAACGGCUUACCAAGACAAUGAUGGGUAGGGGUCCUGAGAGGGAGAUCCCCCACACUGGUACUGAGACACGGACCAGACUCCUACGGGAGGCAGCAGUGGGGAAUAUUGGACAAUGGGCGAAAGCCUGAUCCAGCCAUGCCGCGUGUGUGAAGAAGGUCUUCGGAUUGUAAAGCACUUUAAGUUGGGAGGAAGGGCAGUAACCUAAUACGUUAUUGUUUUGACGUUACCGACAGAAUAAGCACCGGCUAACUUCGUG